GGUGUGUGUACUUACUACAUAACGAAUCAAUCUUUCGCCUUUUACUAAAGAUUGCCGUGUAGUAAGUAUGUUAAAUACAAUAUACCACGAAUUUUUGUCGCGCCUAUUAAGUUAGGUGCU
Molecule: non-coding RNA, 120 nt
Organism: Plasmodium falciparum Dd2
Lineage: Eukaryota; Apicomplexa; Aconoidasida; Haemosporida; Plasmodiidae
Source: Rfam